Molecule: ribosomal RNA, 431 nt
Filed under: Rhode stalitoides
Lineage: Eukaryota; Metazoa; Arthropoda; Arachnida; Araneae; Dysderidae
Description: partial large subunit ribosomal RNA
Source: RNAcentral
CUCUUUUAGACUUAAAUAAAAGUACUUUCUGCUCCAUGACAAUAAAUAGCCGCUGUAUAUACUGUGCUAAGGUAGCAUAAUCAUUUUGCCUUUUUAAUUAAAGGAUCGUAUAAAAGAAAAAACGAAUUUAUAACUUUACACUUCUUUUCUUAAUAAACCUAUAUUAAAAGUAAAAAUACUUUUUUAUUCAAAAAAGACGACAAGACCCUGCCGAACUUAACUUAUGUUUAACUGGGGCGGUUCAAAAACAACUUCUUAUCUCCACAUAAAUAAAAAUCAAUCUAUUAAUUCAGUUACCGCAGGGAUAACAGCAUAAUUUAUUUUAAAAGUUCUUAUAAAAAAAUAAGAUUAUGACCUCGAUGUUGAAUUAAAAUUUCUACAAACAAGCAAAAAUGUUGCAAGAUAGUCUGUUCGACUAUUAAAAUUUUACA